AUGUGGCCAUGCAGGCUCGUUGGCCAUGGCUCAAAAGGACUGAUGAGACGACAAUGGAAUGAAUUCAAAAUCAAGGUUGCUGAAGAAGCAAGGAUGUUUUGUCAGGCAACCAUGCGGUCUACUGCACAUUUUGGCCGGACAAUGUUGUUUUGGGAGGACCGAUGGUUAGAUGGGCGAAGAGUUCAGGAGAUUGCGUCGCGGGUUUACGAGCUGGUUACACCACGGGCUCGAGGGACGAGGUUGGUCAGUGCAACUAUGGAGAACGGGUCUUGGGCAAUAGAUCUACGCCCCAACUUUGGACCAGAUACGUUGCAAGAGUUUCUAUCACUAUGGCAAACAGUUAAUGCUUGGGAGGCCACUGAGGAUUUGCCGGAUGGUGUAGCCUGGUCUUGGGAGGCAAAUGGGCAAUUCUCGGUCAUAUCAGCGUAUGCGGCUGGUUUUUGGGGAAGGGAGGUCAUUUCUACAGCGGAUCUGACAUGGAAGUCACGUGCCCCACUGCAGUGCAGAUUCUUUACUUGGCUGGCAAUGAAGGACCGAUGCUGGACCUCGGAUCGUCUUGCGCGAAGAGGUCUACCUCACCAGGAUGCAUGCCCGUUCUACGAUCAAGAGGAAGAAACGACCAACCAUAUACUGCUCACGUGUGUAUUUGCUCGGACUACUUGGGCGGCAUUUGCGACUCGCUGGGCAAACCAGAAUGGACCCCCUUUCCCCAAGACGUACUGGCCGAGUGGGCCGUUGAUAAGAGGGAAGCAAACAAUUUGA
RNAcentral lists this ribosomal RNA (762 nucleotides) under Triticum aestivum (bread wheat). RNAcentral's name for it is "partial small subunit ribosomal RNA". The record is from RNAcentral. Lineage: Eukaryota; Viridiplantae; Streptophyta; Magnoliopsida; Poales; Poaceae.